AGGCGGAGGGAGGAAGUCGGAAAACAGAUUUAAACGGAGUUUGAAACCUUGCUUCUGUUUGCCAGUACUAUGAGAAAAUGUCGUUAUCAAAGAGGUCUGGAUGCUAAAACAAACUCUGGACCCGCUUUUCUGUCGAACACGAGUGAGACUGGAUGCUGAACACACCUGCGGCGUGAAGGUUUACUUGUUCAGCUGCUGCAGCCUGGACAGAAACACCAGCUCUCACCUCACAAACCAAACAGGUGUCACCACUUGGUCCUCGAUUGCAGAGUCCUCAUACAACAAAGCAGUUCCUUGAGACAGAGAGGCCUCUAGGUGAAUUCAAAGAAACAACUGGAUUCACUAAAGGUGAAGGAGGAGGAGCAGAAGGCAACGGCAGCUGACGUUCUGGACCUGAAGUGAACAAAAGAAAACAAGAGUUAUGCCGUUAAUUAGAUAGAAGACCUCCAGCAUCUUGCUGCAAAACCCUUUCCUGUAGCCAGCGUUUCUCCUGUUGUUCUAGUGGAGACAUUUAUCACAUUCAGCCACAGACUCAUCCCACCACGUUGCACCACAGAGCGCCACAGGAAAUCAUUCCUGCCGGUGGCCAUCAACCUAUUCAACUCUUCUCUCUGAGAAUCAAUCUGUCAAUUGAUUGAUCCCUGGACACUUUUCUUCACCCAUGUGUAAUAACCAGUUAACUAUGCAGUACAAAUGUAAAUAGCACAUCAACACUAAAUAUGUACAUAUUUUGUUACGGAUAUAUUUUUUAUUGUAUAUGUGAAUUGGAGCACUGCCACUCAAUGAUUUCCCUCAAGGGAUAAAUAAAGUAUUUCUGACCUGAUUCAGACUUUAGCACCCACUUGUCUAAUAUCAACACAUAAUGUAGCUAUGAGCACAUCUUCCAACCAACACAUUUCUAUUAAACAUCGUUAAGAACAUUUAACUGCUUACGAUACAAUUAUCUUUUGUAAUUAUAUCAUAAGAAGUUAAAUGUUCUUAAAGAUGUUUAAUACAGACAUGUAAAACAAAGUGUCUCUUAGUGGUUAAAUAUCUGGAACAAAAUCACUAAAACUUUCUUAGUGUCUCCAGUUUCACACUAAUAAAAUAAAAGUUGUUUUAUUUAGCAAAAAUGCCAAAUAUCUAUUUGCAGCUGCUAAAUUUUAUAUGCAUCAUGUAAAGGUCUUAUUUUUGCAAUCAUAAAAAAAUGCUAAUUAAAACUGAUUAAGCACCUUCACUGUAGUGAUGUUUGUCCCACACAAGCAGUUUGAAUCAAACUAACGCCGAUCUGCA
This is a long non-coding RNA of Lates calcarifer (barramundi perch), 1272 nucleotides long. RefSeq lists it as uncharacterized. The transcript is spliced from 5 exons. Lineage: Eukaryota; Metazoa; Chordata; Actinopteri; Centropomidae. The record is from RefSeq and is a predicted model, not a curated record.